Molecule: ribosomal RNA, 396 nt
Filed under: uncultured bacterium
Lineage: Bacteria
Description: partial 16S ribosomal RNA
Rfam family: Bacterial small subunit ribosomal RNA
Source: RNAcentral
AUACGUAGGUGACAAGCGUUAUCCGGAAUUACUGGGCGUAAAGAGCUCGUAGGUGGUUUGUCGCGUCGUCUGUGAAAUUCCGGGGCUUAACUCCGGGCGUGCAGGCGAUACGGGCAUAACUUGAGUACUGUAGGGGAGACUGGAAUUCCUGGUGUAGCGGUGAAAUGCGCAGAUAUCAGGAGGAACACCGGUGGCGAAGGCCGGUCUCGGGGCAGUAACUGACGCUGAGGAGCGAAAGCAGGGGUAGCGACCAGGAUUAGAUACCCUGGUAGUCCAUUCCGUAGACGGUGGGCGGUAGGUGUAGGGGUCUUCCACGACUUCUGUGCCGUAGCUAACGCAUUAAGCGCCCCGCCUGGGGAGUACGGCCGCAAGGCUAAAACUCAAAGGAAUUGACGG